RNAcentral lists this ribosomal RNA (200 nucleotides) under uncultured bacterium. RNAcentral describes it as "partial 16S ribosomal RNA". It matches the Rfam family "Bacterial small subunit ribosomal RNA", at positions 8 to 210 of the family's 1533-position model. The record is from RNAcentral.
AGAGUUUGAUCCUGGCUCAGAAUGAACGUUGGCGGCGUGGAUUAGGCAUGCAAGUCGAACGGGUCUGCCGCAAGGCAGAUUAGUGGCGCAAGGGUGAGUAAGGCGACGGUAACCAACCCCAUGGUUGGGCAUAGCCGCGGGAAACUGCGGGUAAUUCCCAGCGAUGUUGGCUUGAGGCAUCUUGAGCCAACCAAAGCUCU